This is a long non-coding RNA of Amphimedon queenslandica, 1163 nucleotides long. RefSeq lists it as uncharacterized. NCBI's taxonomy places the organism in Eukaryota, Metazoa, Porifera, Demospongiae, Haplosclerida, Niphatidae. The record is from RefSeq and is a predicted model, not a curated record. The transcript has 2 exons.
GAGAGAGAGAGAAAGAUAGUUCAGUUCAUAUAUUAUUGGUUAUUAAAAGGUUACUUUACUGAUUCCGUAUAUUGACAGUUACUGGUUGAUAUCAGAUAAAGAGAGAACAAGAAGAAGUAGACUAAAGGAUCAGUACUGACUGAUGAUAGUACAGGAACCAUUUUAACUCUUUAUUAAUGGGCGGGGUUAUUAGGACAGUAAUCUAAACCGUAAAUGUACUCCGUAAUUUUUAAUCUUCUUCUUCUUUUAAUUUGUUGCCUCCUCUGUUGAGGAGAGUACCACCUUAGUGGGAAGAGAUUAAAGUUAGUGAGAAUGGAUACAGGAAGCCCGAUGAGCUCUCAGAUCAGAGAUGUAGAAUAAGAUCUUCGUUUGGGAUGAGCGGCAGCGCUGGGGAGAUAUGCCAAUUAACCGGGCCUGCCUGAAAUACGGAUCCACGCGGAUCAAAUGCGGAUCAGGCUGAAAUGCGGAUCAACGCGGAACGCUCGCGGAUCUGUAUUGAAGUACGGAACAACACGGAAACUAUACGGAUCUUUCUGCAAGAAUGAUAGCUAUGCAUCAGGAGAGAAAUUUACCAGCUCUAUUUGAGUCUUUGAUAGGAACUUUAUCAUCCUUGCAGUUUCAGUACAUGCAGUUGACUGAGAUCUACAGAUAAGCUGAUAUCCUCUUGAGCUAUUCUCUUCAACUUUUGUGAACAUGCAACCAUUGCCUGUGAUAAUGAGAAAACAGACUACUACUAGAUCUAACUACUGAGCAGUCAACACACUCAACAUUAGCUCAGUGUGCCUUCAUGCAGUCAAGGGACAAGUCAAGUUAUUUUAAAGUGCUAUCAUGGCUGUACCCCCCAAGUUCAACAUAGAUGGCAAAGUGGACCAUUGUCUGGGAAUUCCAGUCUUUGUUUUUUUACUUUAUCACUGUUAUUUUCUAAUUAUUAUUAUUCAUUCUGCAUGACUUAUAGAAUUAUUAUAUUUUUAAUCUUUAUUAUCAUUAUUCAGCUAACUACUAUUAUUUAUUCAUUCCAUCAAUCAUUCACAGUCGUAUAGUCUCUUAAAAUUUUACUAUUAGCUAUUGUUACUCAUUCAUCAUUUUUGUUUAUUGAUUUAAUCUCAUUGUAUUUCCCAAUUUCAGUGUACUAUAUGCUUCGGUUUUAUAAUUGCAAAAUCUAA